GCCAGACAGCAGUGUUACCAUGGAGACUCCUGCCCAAGCACCCAACACCUGUGAUCAUCACCUGCCUCUUAAUUCAGCUUAAUCCAGAUCACCCCUGGGACCUGGGGAUACAAAGGAAGGCUCAGCUCUCCAUGACAGGCCCAGCGAGCUUGCUCAGGGACUUGUGCCCAGAGACUCCGAGAGUUCCCCAGGAGCUUUCCCAGGAAGACGCUGUGUCCUCCCAGGGCCCCCUUCCUACCAUGGCUGCCUUGCUGCCCUGCAAGUGGAACCUGUCCUUGGGGUAAAACCAAGAGACUGCGAGAGACAGAGACACAGAAAGAGAGAGAGAGAGAACGAACCUGGGAAAAGUCCCCCUGCGUGGAUCACUUGUCUGAGUGUGAUGUCAUCACCACAAUCUGUUUUUGUUUACUUUUUAGAGUUCUCUGGCAGUUGGAUUUUUAAUUUGGCUCAAAGUUUCUGUUAUAAUCAGUGGGAGGAGUGGACUAAGUGAGCUUAUGCUACCAUGCUAGCUAGCACUGGAACCUCCUUCCCCCCAAUUUUUAGUAAAGCUUUUUGUCUUCUUA
Suricata suricatta (meerkat) is the source of this 563-nucleotide long non-coding RNA. RefSeq lists it as uncharacterized. The record is from RefSeq and is a predicted model, not a curated record. The transcript has 2 exons. Lineage: Eukaryota; Metazoa; Chordata; Mammalia; Carnivora; Herpestidae.